RNAcentral lists this ribosomal RNA (429 nucleotides) under Chloroflexota bacterium. Its description in RNAcentral is "Chloroflexi bacterium partial 16S ribosomal RNA". It matches the Rfam family "Bacterial small subunit ribosomal RNA", at positions 355 to 776 of the family's 1533-position model. The record is from RNAcentral. Lineage: Bacteria; Bacillati; Chloroflexota.
UGGGGAAUCUUGCACAAUGGGCGCAAGCCUGAUGCAGCCAUGCCGCGUGUUUGAAGAAGGCCUUCGGGUUGUAAAGUACUUUCAGUCGGGAGGAAGGUGGUAAGGUUAAUAACCUUGGCAAUUGACGUUACCGACAGAAGAAGCACCGGCUAACUCCGUGCCAGCAGCCGCGGUAAUACGGAGGGUGCAAGCGUUCAUCGGAAUUACUGGGCGUAAAGCGCACGCAGGCGGAUGAUUGAGUCAGAUGUGAAAGCCCCGGGCUUAACCCGGGAAUUGCAUCUGAUACUGGUCAGCUAGAGUCUUGUAGAGGGGGGUAGAAUUCCAUGUGUAGCGGUGAAAUGCGUAGAGAUGUGGAGGAAUACCGGUGGCGAAGGCGGCCCCCUGGACAAAGACUGACGCUCAGGUGCGAAAGCGUGGGGAGCAAACAGG